Molecule: long non-coding RNA, 1343 nt
Filed under: Homo sapiens (human)
Lineage: Eukaryota; Metazoa; Chordata; Mammalia; Primates; Hominidae
Description: HSALNT0118011
Source: RNAcentral
UCUUUUUUUGGAAGAGAUCUUUAUUAAUAGAGUGCUUUUAUUAAUAAUUCAUACCUUGUCUAAGCGGUAAAAACCCAGCAGAGGAUUAACCCAUGCCCAUGGUAUUUGAAACUAUAAAGAAUAAAGUUUUCUCCUGUAUUUGUUAGGAAUUGCUCUUGGCUGCAAGUAACAGAGAACUGAAAUAACAGUCAUUUAACACAAGACACAAAUUUCUUUCUGUCUCAUGUAAAAGAAACCCAAGCAGCAGUCCUGGGCCCCCAAGUAUCAUCAGUGACUGUGGCUCCUUCUUUCUUUCUGAUCUGCCAUCCUCCAAGUGGGGUUUCCACCCUCACAGUCACCUCAAGAUGCAAGAACACUGCUGGUGCUCCAGCCAUUGCGUCUGCAUCCGCAGCAGAAAACUGGAGGAAGCGCCAUUUGUCUCUCCCCCAAACUUCCCCUUACAUUUCCCUAAUUGCAAGGGAGGCUGGGAUAUAUGGUCUUUGAGCUGUGCAUGUAGAUUCCCAGGAUGAGUCAGGAUUCUCUUAGGAAGGAAGGGGAAUCUGGGUAUUAGGUUGUUAGUGAGCAGUUGCUCCCACAGUUCCCACAUUCAGACAGACCCGGGUUUGAAUCCGAGCCUGCCACCCAGUAGCUUCCUGCACAUGCAGUGUGGUGCCCCGUGAGGGUGCAACCUGGCCUGGUUUGGCUGUGCCUGUCAGGUCCACACUCGGCAAAUUUGCGUCAAGGGGGUGAAGGAGAAGAAUGGUUCUAGAACUCCUAGGACUUUUGCUACCUGCUGGGGAGCGGGCGUGGCUUUCCUGCACCCCUCAAGCUCCUGGGAAGUGGGGUAUGAACCCCCCAGAGGGCUGUACCUCACGUGCUUGCUCCUGACCUGCAGGAGGAAGCGGGGCUGCCCUUUAGGGACAUUGAAUGUGGGGCAGGGGCAGUUAUGUGCAGAGAAGAGCUGAGUGACGGGGGCCUGGCCUCAGGGCUGGAGUUACGGGGCAGGCCAGACACAGACUGCAAGGGCUCCCCAGGGUCAGUGAGAGGAUGGGCCCUUCUCAGGGUGACAAGAUAAUUUAUUGAUCUUCCAAAUCAGGAUGCAUUUGAGUCCAUAGGGUGCGAUUAGCAAGUAUUACCCUAAGCCCAGGGGUAAAUCAGGCCUGUCCUGGGACCCUGGGGUGUGUGGUCACCCCACCUUCACCCUACCCAGGAACAUGGGGCCUGAGUCUCCAGCUAAGCUCACUGGGCAUGGUUUUCAGGUUAGGAAGGCGGCAAGGGCUCAAGGCCUGGCAAGCUGUUCACAAACAAAGGGUCGAAACAAAGAAAUAAUAAUACAUUUUAAUGCAAGAGAAAUCAUAGCCUGG